GGGGAUACCGGCUUAAUUUUAAUUAAUUCAUAGCCUACUAUAAAAAUUUGCAAUAUCCGUUUUAUUUUGUUUGUUUAAAUUAUGAACAUUAAUAUUACCGUAACGAGCUUGAAAGACAAUAAAGCAAUUGUUGUGGUGGAAUAGUAAUAACACCGCCUUGUCACAAAAUUUCUGAAAUAAAUCCAGCGGUGACACAUUGGUCAAAGGAAACAUGGGACCCAUUCAAACCAUCAACUUUAAAUUGGCGAAAAACUGACGUAAAACGGCUGACACGUCCUGUUCCCAUUAAAAUGUUGCGAUUCGUGGAAAUCAUAGGUGGUUGACCCAUUUAAUUUACAUUUAUUUUAAGGGCAGAUUUCUGUGGAAGAUUCGCGUGCAUGGAAAAAGUAAAUGCGACGAUCUCUUUGACACACACACCCCCGGCAUAAUGGUCGUGCGGAUGAAUGAAGCGAAAUAUGUGCAUCGGUGGGGAAUGGUUAGUCAUUGGAUCCAGAUUGACGGCAACUAAUCGAGAAGUGGAGAAGUGCGGAUCCGAGGUGCACGCAACGGGUCACAGGUCGCAACAAACGGGUCUCUCCGCGGCCACUUCCGCACUGGUGCACGGUCCUAUCAUGUCCCAGUGCCUGUUUAAAUUAUCGCCGGGAUUAAUUUACCGUGUCCAAGUGUAAUUGUGUUACAAGACACUACCAAAUUGUGCUAUUUGAUUUAUUCUUUCAUCAUCAAUAUGGAUACAGCUCUAUAUUUUGUAACUUGUAAAAUAUAUCGUAUAU
Molecule: long non-coding RNA, 770 nt
Organism: Aethina tumida (small hive beetle)
Lineage: Eukaryota; Metazoa; Arthropoda; Insecta; Coleoptera; Nitidulidae
Exons: 3
Source: RefSeq, a predicted model, not a curated record